RNAcentral lists this ribosomal RNA (510 nucleotides) under Metarhizium robertsii. Its description in RNAcentral is "eukaryotic LSU rRNA". The stretch from base 114 to 267 matches the Rfam family "5.8S ribosomal RNA". Lineage: Eukaryota; Fungi; Ascomycota; Sordariomycetes; Hypocreales; Clavicipitaceae. The record is from RNAcentral.
CCCUGUGAAUAUACCUUUAAUUGUUGCUUCGGCGGGACUUCGCGCCCGCCGGGGACCCAAACCUUCUGAAUUUUUUAAUAAGUAUCUUCUGAGUGGUUAAAAAAAUGAAUCAAAACUUUCAACAACGGAUCUCUUGGUUCUGGCAUCGAUGAAGAACGCAGCGAAAUGCGAUAAGUAAUGUGAAUUGCAGAAUUCAGUGAAUCAUCGAAUCUUUGAACGCACAUUGCGCCCGUCAGUAUUCUGGCGGGCAUGCCUGUUCGAGCGUCAUUACGCCCCUCAAGUCCCCUGUGGACUUGGUGUUGGGGAUCGGCGAGGCUGGUUUUCCAGCACAGCCGUCCCUUAAAUUAAUUGGCGGUCUCGCCGUGGCCCUCCUCUGCGCAGUAGUAAAACACUCGCAACAGGAGCCCGGCGCGGUCCACUGCCGUAAAACCCCCCAACUUUUUAUAGUUGACCUCGAAUCCGGUAGGACUACCCGCUGAACUUAAGCAUAUCAAUAAGCGGAGGAAAAGA